CGGGUGCGUAACGCGUGGGAAUCUACCUUGUAGUGGGGGAUAGCCCGGAGAAAUCCGGAUUAAUACCGCAUAAUCUCUACGGAGCAAAGUGGGGGAUCUUCGGACCUCACGCUAUUAGAUGAGCCCGCGUUAGAUUAGCUUGUUGGUGAGGUAAUGGCUCACCAAGGCAACGAUCUAUAGCUGGUUUGAGAGGAUGAUCAGCCACACUGGGACUGAGACACGGCCCAG
Molecule: ribosomal RNA, 228 nt
Filed under: uncultured bacterium
Lineage: Bacteria
Description: partial 16S ribosomal RNA
Rfam family: Bacterial small subunit ribosomal RNA
Source: RNAcentral